CAGUAGCCGCGGGAAUACGUAGGGUGCGAGCGUUAAUCGGAAUUACUGGGCGUAAAGCGUGCGCAGGCGGUUUUGUAAGACAGGCGUGAAAUCCCCGGGCUCAACCUGGGAAUGGCGCUUGUGACUGCAAAGCUAGAGUGCGGCAGAGGGGGAUGGAAUUCCGCGUGUAGCAGUGAAAUGCGUAGACAUGCGGAGGAACACCGAUGGCGAAGGCAAUCCCCUGGGCCUGCACUGACGCUCAUGCACGAAAGCGUGGGGAGCAAACAGGAUUAGAUACCCGUGUAGUCCCUGUCUCUUAUAU
RNAcentral lists this ribosomal RNA (301 nucleotides) under uncultured bacterium. Its description in RNAcentral is "partial 16S ribosomal RNA". It matches the Rfam family "Bacterial small subunit ribosomal RNA", at positions 509 to 809 of the family's 1533-position model. The record is from RNAcentral.